AUGGGUAUGGGGAGAGGGGCAGGACGUUCAGCCCUGGGAUUCUGGCCGACCCUCGCCUUCCUUCUCUGCAGCUUCCCCGCAGUAUGAUCGUUUGAAGGAGGACAAUCAUUUUUAAAGCUCUCCUCGUUUAUUGAGCGGCCACAGUAUCCUGGGCACUCCGCCAAAUGCUUUGAGUACAACACCUCGCGAGAUCACCACACCUUCCUCACGGAAGAGAAAGUACCGAAGAGGAAACAGAGGGUCACAGAGGUUGCCUGACAUUACACAGCUAGCCGGUGACCAAGCCGGGAGUGGAACACAGACCCCCGACCCUUUUCCGUAUCCCAUAUUGUGAAUAAACAUACUCCUUAGAUUUGCUUCGGAACAUAUUCGAGUUUGUGCUGUGCAGCAUAUAAGGCUUCAAGGUGGCGGAGGGAAAUAAGACCCCAAAUUUGGAGGUAUUAGAUAGCAGAGUGAAAAGCUGACCACGGAUUCUGUGGACCUAGCAGUUUUUGGGGGUGUUUUUUGUUUUUUGUUUUUUGUUUUUUUUGCCUCCUCCCAAAGGCCCUCUCUGCUGCCUGUCUGUCCUGGCUUAACAUCUCAAAGAAGAUGCCACCCAGCCAUAGGUCAGGCAAAGAAGUUGGCAAGGGCUGUCAUUGUGCAAAUUUUCCCAAGUCAGAUUUAUGUCUUUUGGGUUUUGCUUAUUUAUUCAUUUCAUGCACCAUUUCACCCGAGCAGUCGAAAUACCGAGACGCCUAUUAAAGUGAUCCGUCUGCACCCAGGUCCCCGCAGAAAGGAGCCCAUUAUUGGUCCGCAUGCUAAGGAAUGUCCCAUGAACACAGGCUCACACACGUGUGCGCCAGCCGGGCGUGUGCCCAGCUGGCAUGCAUUUGCCCUCCCACUGCAUGAGGAAGGUGGAGGAGGGAGGCCCGCCUGCGGAUGGCGGUGAGGGAGAAAAAGCCACUUCAAAUGAAUCUGGAUGUGGAGCGGCCAAGCAGAUGAGCCGAGGGUUGCUGGAGGCAGAGCCAGGAUGGAAAAUUAUCAUUUCUAGAGCCAGCCCUGGACUCGGGAAAAGGGGUUAUGCCUCCAAGCGGGAAGAACACACUGCUCACCUGAAAGCUUCAUUGAUAUCUGGAAAGUGAUGUCUUUGCCCGUAACCACUCUGCUGGUGGAACCUGGAGUAGCUUCGUUCUGUGCCCUAAGACAAGAUGGUACUGGCCUGGAAUCUCGCGCCCGGCUCAGCCCUUGGUCAUCAUGGGUCCCUCUUUUAAGUUUUUGUUGUCAUUGUUGUUUAUUUUGCGAGAGAAAGAAGGAGACAGACGAUCCCAAGCAGGCUCCACGGUGCCAGUGCCAAGCCCCAGGUGGGGCUCGAACCCACGAACCAUGAGAUACCCACAAACCUGAGCCGUAAUCAAGAGUCAGACACUUAACCAACUGAGCCACCCAGGCGCCCCCAUCAGGGCCCCCUUUUACCCAGAAGCCCUCAGCCACCUGAUUUGACAGGCCUGCUUGUGGCCUUGGUGAACACAGGUGCUUCUGAAUGUCCUGUCUGCCAUUGAUCUGGUUCCAUGUGGCCCCAGUGGGAGUCGGGGGAGGGUGCCCAGUUUGGAAAGCUGCAGUGUGCCCUUUUCCUUGGUACUCGGUGUGGUUUCUUGUAGCAACUUGGCGUGUGUGAUGGCUGGGGCAGAGCAGCCCUGGCAGAGUGUGACAAGUGUGACAAGGGGCAGUGCCUCCUGCCUCAGCUCAGUAGGUGGCAUUCGGCCACCUCUUCCCACACUGGACAGUGAGUUAACCCCCAGCUCCCUGGCCUCCCCACCUCCCCUUCCUAGAGCAGUCGAGACUCUCUGAGAACCUCCCUCUUGCCUGCUUCUUUAUCCUGUAGGCCAGUUCCCGGACAACGGGGUUUCCGGAAAAGUCCCAGCACCUUUGAGGGACUCACAGGCUAGGCCGGUUCCCCCCAGACCACCUUGGGCUGCAUAGGGAGGAAUGCUUUUUAGGAAGGAUGAUCACUUCCGACUUCGUGCAGGUUAAGUAAGGUGAAUUCUGCUGUAGCUGACAAAAUCUUCAGUCUGUCACCUGGCUGUGUUCCUGUAGGAAUCUGAUGUCAAACACCUGGCACCAGGAGCGGUUCCUGUGGGAGUGACAUGAACAGGCAGCUUUAGACGUCUCUCUCUUUAAAAAAACAAAGUAAAACAUUUAUUUAUAUUUGGGAGAGCGCCUGUGGGGGAGGGGCAGAGAGAGGGAGACAGAGGAACCAAAGCUGAUGUAGGACUCAGACUCACAAACUGCAAGAUCAUGCCCUGAGCGGAAGUCGGACUCUCGAUUGACCCACCGAGCCACCCAGCUGCCCAGCUUUAGGCAUCUCUUAACUCAGGAAGACUCCAGAAUACCGCCCAGGCCAGAGUUUGCCACAUGUUGGCACUAGAUCUGAUCGCAUCCCCCUCCUUGAUUCCCCCAAGAGGGUGGGGAGUGGCCAACUGUCCCCAUGCUGAGUGCAGGCAGGCUGGCGCUCCUGGUUUGGUGCUGCCCUCCCCUCCUCCUUCAGGACCCCCUGUCACAGCUUGAUGACAAGAGAGGGGAGCCCCAGGGCCUCUGCUGUCCAGGAUGGAUGUGAGACAGGCCGUGGGGACAGGAACAGGAGGUGUCGGGCUUCAGUGCUGACCUUGGCACAGAGGUUGAUCAGUGACUGCUCAUUCUGCUUCUGCUUCUGCUCAUUCUGUGCUCUGCCUGCUUCUACCCGGACUAAAGCCACCACCUCCUAAAAUAGGAUUGUGAUCAUGCCAUGCACUUCCUGGAAAUUAUCGCGGGGCUCCCUACCAUCAACUGCAU
This is an RNA transcript of Panthera uncia (snow leopard), 2808 nucleotides long. It is a transcript of the gene named repulsive guidance molecule BMP co-receptor a, with no coding region annotated. The transcript is spliced from 2 exons. Lineage: Eukaryota; Metazoa; Chordata; Mammalia; Carnivora; Felidae. The record is from RefSeq and is a predicted model, not a curated record.